Molecule: long non-coding RNA, 670 nt
Organism: Actinia tenebrosa (Australian red waratah sea anemone)
Lineage: Eukaryota; Metazoa; Cnidaria; Anthozoa; Actiniaria; Actiniidae
Source: RefSeq, a predicted model, not a curated record
AAAAUGGUUUACCCAAAGCCACACGGCAUAACAGAAGUUGUCUGGGGAAAUAACAUGAACAAAUUCAAUAAGAAUGGAGUGACCGUAAUGUCGUGGAAAAGACAAGAUCUAUUUGAUCCGAUAUGGAAAAGUAAUAGUGGAGAAAUACUGAGAUACUGUCAAGAUAUCGAUUCAUGGAGUAAUGACAACGAUGAUCAUUUGAAUAGUGUCAAUCAAACAAACCGAUAAAAACAGCCCAAAAACUUGCCAGGAAGAUAACAUUAAUGAAAACCCUUUACAAUAUAUACUGGAUAUGGAUUGCAGAUCGAGGCUUAUCAACUUGAAAGGGCGGUCUGAACCCCAACGGAAAUUACCAAAGGUACAAUAACGUAGUGAACCAUUUAUCAGCUGAUAGUUAGGAUGAUAAGCAACAAAUAAACUGUCAUACCUAGUACCAUACGAGAGAAAUGUUCGUAAACACUGGUUUUAUGGUGGUGAAGAGCAAAACAAAAUUAAUAAUUUUGUAUUUAUAUUUGCUUAACCAGCUAGAUUUGAAAUUUAGAAUUUCGUCAUUUAUCUUUUAGGAUAUCUAAAUACGAAGAUCCCAUCUCUUUUUGUAUUCUAUAAUCAUGCAUACAUUGUAGCUUAGGUGCAUCCUCGAACUCGGACAUUAAAUAUUUUCAACAUUUUA